Molecule: ribosomal RNA, 253 nt
Filed under: uncultured bacterium
Lineage: Bacteria
Description: partial 16S ribosomal RNA
Rfam family: Bacterial small subunit ribosomal RNA
Source: RNAcentral
GACGUAGGAGGCGAGCGUUAUCCGGAUUCACUGGGCGUAAAGCGCAUGUAGGCGGCUGGACAAGUCGUGUGUUAAAGCCCCUGGCUCAACUGGGGGAGGUCACGCGAGACUGUACGGCUGGAGGGCAACAGAGGCACGUGGAACUCCCGGUGUAGCGGUGGAAUGCGUAGAGAUCGGGAAGAACACCAGUGGCGAAGGCGACGUGCUGGGUUGCACCUGACGCUGAGAUGCGAAAGUGUGGGGAGCAAACGGG